GUGUGACCUUGAGUAACACACUUAACCUCUCUGACCCCUUUGCUUACCAGUAAAUGGGGGCAUUUCUUACCUUGAGAGGUUAUUGAGAGAGUUCAGUAAGAGAUGGCGUGUGAAAUCAUUGCUGAUUAUUUGUGUUAAUUCUUCGAAGGCAAGCGCUGCUCCAUACCCUGAGCAUAGGGAAAGGGCCAACUUAGCUCCUGCCCCCGCAGAGGUUCCAGUCUGAGUCGCUGGAAUGGGAAGAGAACAGAGGACUCCAGGAGGUUGGGGUUGACCCUGAAGGAAGAGGAAGGACGAAAGGUAAUCUAUAGGCAGCCCCGCACGGGGGCAAGGGGUGACACACAGAGAGAGAAGGGCCCACGGAUUCCCAAGGUGCCCCGGAUCCAGGGUGCUGAGAUGCAAAGAGGAGAGGGUAAGUGGGGUGGAAUGGAAGGAGGGGAAAGAGCUGGGAGCUAAGGUGAGAGCAGGGUGGGGCCAGGGGAGAAUGAAAACCCAGCCUGUUGGUGGUUUCUUCUUUUUUUUUUUUUAAGAGCCACAAGCUGAGAUCAAAGGUGAUAUUUUUACAGCAACUGAAAUAGAAAACCACUGGGCACACACUGGGAGGUGAGCAGCCGGCACACAGGCCCCUUUAUGCAGCCUGUGGCCACAGCAAGCACGCUGCCCUCUGC
Molecule: long non-coding RNA, 665 nt
Filed under: Rhinopithecus bieti (black snub-nosed monkey)
Lineage: Eukaryota; Metazoa; Chordata; Mammalia; Primates; Cercopithecidae
Description: lncRNA (ENSRBIG00000046323.1)
Source: RNAcentral